This 407-nucleotide ribosomal RNA is filed under the name uncultured bacterium. RNAcentral's name for it is "partial 16S ribosomal RNA". It matches the Rfam family "Bacterial small subunit ribosomal RNA", at positions 28 to 526 of the family's 1533-position model. The record is from RNAcentral.
GACGAACGCUGGCGGCGUGCCUAAUACAUGCAAGUAGAACGCAGUUGCGAACGGGUGAGUAACGCGUAGGUAACUGCCCCAUAGCGGGGGAUAACUAUUGGAAACGAUAGCUAAUACCGCAUACUGUGAGACGGACCUGCGUUGCAUUAGCUAGUUGGUGAGGUAAAGGCACACCAAGGCGACGAUACAUAGCCGGCCUGAGAGGGUGGUCGGCCACACUGAGACUGAAGCACAGCCCAAACUCCUACGGGAUGCAGCAGUAGGGAAUCUUCGGCAAUAGACGGAAGUCUGACCGAGCAACGCCGCGUGAGUGGAGAAGGUUUUCGGAUCGUAAAACUCUGUUGAUAGGGAAGCGGUAACUGACCAGAAAGGGACGGCUAACUACGUGCCAGCAGCCGCGGUAAUUC